This 1303-nucleotide long non-coding RNA is filed under the name Struthio camelus australis. RNAcentral describes it as "lncRNA (ENSSCUG00000007659.1)". The record is from RNAcentral. Lineage: Eukaryota; Metazoa; Chordata; Aves; Struthioniformes; Struthionidae.
AAGUAAUGUCAGUUAAUAUAGUAAAAGUCUAAAUAAAUACCACAGAACGCUGUUUCACACACAUAUUGUGUAGAAAAGAGUGAAGUAUUUCCAACUUGAACAGUUUAAACACGGAAAAUUUAGAAAAAAAGGAGAACGUUCUCAUCAAACUCCAGCAGAGCUUCACGUGUCAAUUCUACACACUACAAAAAUACUUCUUCCAAGUAAAACAUUUCUUGUUUUCUACUCAUGCCAAAGCACGUUGCACUUCGUAGGUUCCAGAGAAACGUUAAGGUGUGCCUGUUUUUCCUACUUAAAUACCUUAUUGGCAGCUUCCACAGGCUAACGACUAGGAAUAAAAUCCAUUCACAGCUGCCAGAGCCUUUAAACCCUACUUUUUAAGUUAAGCCCACACGACGGAGCCACGCACUCUCUCCUUGCUUCAGAGCGAAACUCGGCAAGCCUGACAGACUCCAUUUGUGCGGUCGGUUUCCUCCUCCCCCCCUCCCCCUUUGCAGUUAGUCCCCGUCGUUACUCCUUCUCCCCAGGGACUGCCGGCCGGGAGGAAGCCCCCCCGCCUGCUCGGGGAUGCUGCCCUGAGCGGGGCGCGGGCACCAGCUUAGUCACGGCCAGGUUCCUCUGCCAGUGAGAUGGCAGAUCCGUGGCUGGGCGAGGUGAAGGAAGGAGGGCUGAAGCCGCGCUCCGGUGCGCUGGGGAAGGGGCCUACGGACCUGGAAAGCGCCGGUCUCCUAAUGAAAAGGGCUAUGAAAGGCCGCACCGGAGAGGAGCAGCAUCAGCUUCCUUGAACAGGAGGAAAGAAAAGGAUAAGGGGGCUUAGGUUGGAAGCAGCUUAGGAAAUAAAGGCGUAUGUAGGGGUAGGUUUCUGUCACGGCUGAAUGGCGGCAUGUAGUUUUUGGCCCAGGGGUCGCAGGUUCUUCUAAAGCCGUUGGGUUAUGGAUGAUCCGCUUCGUUAGGGUGAAGCGAGGGCGUUGGGAUGGUGGAGGUCUGCUCCUCAGAUUGGGAAGAGCCUCCAGAAAACAAAACGGGACGCAGGGAGCGCGUGUCUCUGCCCGCGCAGCGAAGGCGGCCGGCCGCUUGGGAGAACGCCGGGUUGAGCCAUGUGCUGGCGCAGCAGCCCCUGAGGUCUGUCCCCGCUGGCCUUCUGGAGUCAGGUGAAGACUGUUCCCACCGUCCAUGGGAAGUGGAAGAUCUAAGGACUAACAUUUACUUCGGAAAUUGUUUCCCGUGGCUGGCGGUAGGGGACAGAGAAGGGAGCAUACAGAGGUUUCGCCUGUUGAUCCCUCAGCUUGGGGGGCAGCUGUAA